RNAcentral lists this long non-coding RNA (226 nucleotides) under Mytilus galloprovincialis (Mediterranean mussel). Lineage: Eukaryota; Metazoa; Mollusca; Bivalvia; Mytilida; Mytilidae. The record is from RNAcentral.
GAAUAAUGUAUCUGUAGAAAAAAAUCCUCAGGCAUCAUCAUUGUAUAUGCAUGUGUAUAGCAUUGUUUUAUAAUGAAUAUUGUCGAAUACAAUAACUCUUCCUGAUGUAUAACAUGUAUCAGCUGCAGUGAUAUCAUUUUUUAAUAUAAUUACUUUUAUCGUGUUUGGAAGUCGUUAGCAGCAUUAGACUAUGUUGCCUUUAUUCCUUCCCCAAGCUCUUGUGACG